AGAGUUUGAUCCUGGCUCAGAACGAACGCUGGCGGCGUGCCUAACACAUGCAAGUCGAACGGGAUUUGAGAGCUUGCUCUUAAAUUUAGUGGCGCACGGGUGAGUAACGCGUAGAUAAUCUGCCUGACGAUCUGGGAUAACACUUCGAAAGAGGUGCUAAUACCGGAUAAGCCCACGGGGUCUUUGGACUCUGCGGGAAAAGGGGGGGACCUUCGGGCCUUCUGUCGUCAGAUGGGUCUGCGUACCAUUAGCUAGUUGGUGGGGUAAUGGCUCACCAAGGCAACGAUCGGUAGCUGGUCUGAGAGGAUGAUCAGCCACACUGGUACUUAGACACGGACCAGACUCCUACGGGAGGCAGCAGUGGGGAAUAUUGCGCAAUGGACGAAAGUCUGACGCAGCAACGCCGCGUGGGUGAAGAAGGCCUUCGGGUCGUAAAGCCCUGUCAGGUGGGAAGAAACCUGCGAAUAGCAGCUGACGGUACCACCAAAGGAAGCACCGGCUAACUCCGUGCCAGCAGCCGCGGUAAUACGGAGGGUGCAAGCGUUGUUCGGAAUCACUGGGCGUAAAGGGCGCGUAGGCGGCCGUACAAGUCUGAUGUGAAAGCCCGAGGCUUAACCUCGGAAGUGCAUUGGAAACUGUACGGCUUGAGUUCGGGAGAGGAGGGCAGAAUUCCUGGUGUAGGGGUGAAAUCCGUAGAUAUCAGGAGGAAAACCAGUGGCGAAGGCGGCCCUCUGGAACGAAACUGACGUUGAGGCGCGAAAGCGUGGGUAGCAAACAGGAUUAGAUACCCUGGUAGU
This 797-nucleotide ribosomal RNA is filed under the name uncultured bacterium. Its description in RNAcentral is "bacterial SSU rRNA". It matches the Rfam family "Bacterial small subunit ribosomal RNA", at positions 8 to 794 of the family's 1533-position model. The record is from RNAcentral.